This 2189-nucleotide long non-coding RNA is filed under the name Sus scrofa (pig). Its description in RNAcentral is "lncRNA (ENSSSCG00055015459.1)". The record is from RNAcentral. Lineage: Eukaryota; Metazoa; Chordata; Mammalia; Artiodactyla; Suidae.
CUCCAAUUUUUUUUUUUUUUUUUUUUUUUUUUUAGUGCUUAAAAAUUCUUUAACAUUUUCAAUUAUUUCCCUCUCGCCAAUUGCAUUUAAUCCUUGGAGCACUUAUUUUUAUUUUUGCACUCUUAAUGAGUUCUUGAUCAUGUCGCUUCUGAAAGAAGUAAGCCUGCUUCACGUGGACUUGCCCUAUUGAGGAUCUUUCAGGUUUCUGUGAGGUGGAUUCUAAUCUACUGAUAGAGGAGUGUGUGCUGCAUGUCUCUACCCUAUAAGGCCCCUUCCUCUUGCUUCCUACUUCCUAUAUAGCUUACUCUUUCAAAGAAGAAACCAUUCAAAAAUGUUACCUCCUUCCUCAGGCCUUUAGAGCUAGGAGUUUUUACCAUUGUGUCUGUAGUGACUAAUGGGAGAGAAGUGUACGAAAUCGAAUCGCAGUCUUUCAAGAGCAGAAGGAUUUGCCUGCCACAAGAGGGCUAAAUGGUAACCCUCAAGUCCUCUUACUGAGCAAUUGUGUUUCUGUUCAAUAAGCUUUUUAAACUGCAUUUUCCUUGUAAGAACUUAUUUUCUUUUAAGUCAGUUCAUUUCUAUCAAAAAGAGUUCAACUAUAUGCCUUAAGCUGUUACUCAAUACAUGUUUGUGUUAUUUAUACCAUUUGAAAAAUUGAUAUAUAUGUGGGGUGGCAAAUGAGAUGAGUGAAGGCAGUUAGUACUAAUGAAUUACCUCUUAGUAAAUUCUUCUAAUUGAUUUCAUAGAGGUGUUUCAACCAGUUGUAGGCAUACACGUGGAAAUGUUCUUCCUUUUCUCAUAACUGCUAAUACCUAUACAAUGUCAAAUCCCCUUUGCUGGGUGGAAAUGAGUUCCUUGAAUAAAAAAAAAAUUCAGUUUGAUUCCAUCUUUUGAAGGUAACUUGUAUCUGAAUUUUACUGCAAUUAUAUUUCCAUCUAAUAUUGAUGUUCUAAAUAAUCCUUCUUACUCUAGCAUAAACAUAGAUGAGACUCAUACCUCUGGAUGGAAGCUAUGCGUGGUUUAUUCUCUUUCAAUUCCUUUCAUCUCCUCAGGGUUUUCUCUUUGUCUACUGAUGAGAAGAGGGGGAAAAAGAAAAGAAGAUUCCUCAUACCAGCACUCUUGGUGUCAAAGCAUUGUUAUUUGUCCUGGCUGUAUUCCAAUUCCUGAUCCACAUGUCUUGCUUCUGCAAUAGAAAGGUUUUGAACCGUAAGGUUGUCAACUACCCCUUCUUCAUUCCCAGCCAUAAUUGGACUAGAGGACAAAACCUGAAGUCUCAUCUAUCCAUCUCCUUGUCACUUGACAAGUAAAGGUAAGUUGAGACAAUCAGAUUCUCUAAUUCAGUAUUUAAAUUCACAUUUUAAGAAAGAAUUUUCUAAUUAGAAGUUAGAGGAGAAAAUAAUAUAGAGAGAUGCCUGAUUGUUCAGACUACAGUGUGUCAUGUGGAAGACAAAGUAAUGGGAAAACACAGCCUGUGAUCAAGCGGAAUAAGUCAAUUCAUAGUGUGUUGAGUAAAGCAGACAUAUACAUUGUCAGUAGAAACAUAUUAUCUGCAAAUGACUAGAUAAAGUUUGGUGAAUUUCUCCCUCCAGAGUGCCAUGAGCCAUUGAAUCUACAACUGCCCUCCUGCUCCAGACUCUUUGGCCUCCCCUAUUAUGUAUCCUAUUCUCAUAAAUCUUCAUGGAAACACCCUCAUAGCUUCACAUGUACCAUUAUAAUAAUAUCCGCCUACUUGAUUUAGUUUGACUGAUAUAUGUGCUUUGCAACCAAAAGGUUUUAUCUGAACUAGUAUCUUGAAAUAUGCAGUAGCUUGAAAAAAAAAUUGUUCAUGGAAACCGCACAUGAUCUAAUUUGGAAAAAGGUUGUUUGCAGAUGAAUGACAUUAGAGAUCUCAAGUUGAGAUCACCCUGUAUUAUCCUGCUGGUCCCCAAAUCCAAUGAGACAUGAUUUUAUGAAGACACAGACACAGGAGAAGGCUGUAUGGAGACAGAGGUUCCAUUAGAGUGGUGCAGCUAAAAGAAAUGUUUGGAGUCAAUCAGAACCUGGAAGAAGCAAAAAAGGAUUCUCCCCUAGAGCCUUUGAAAGGGGGGCCUCCCUGCUGACAACUUGAUGUUGAACUUCUCUCUAGAACUAUGAGAUAGUAAAUUUCUGUUAUUUUAAGCCACCAAAAUUGUGACAGUUUGCUGCAGCAACCC